RNAcentral lists this long non-coding RNA (809 nucleotides) under Elaeis guineensis (African oil palm). RNAcentral's name for it is "long non-coding RNA (EGUI_LNC055836)". Lineage: Eukaryota; Viridiplantae; Streptophyta; Magnoliopsida; Arecales; Arecaceae. The record is from RNAcentral.
UUUUUUUCAUGUACAGAGAAAUAAGGCUAGGACCGAAGGAAAGAAAAUCCAGGCUUCGGGAUCAGUAAAGCAAGUUUAGAAAUUUUGCUCUAAGAAUUCAGUUUAUGUUUAUGGAUUGUAGUCAUUAUGAAUUUUAAGACUUGGAUUAUUUUAUCUUUGGAUUUAGAUGCUGUGAACUAGUUUUGGUUUAAUUAAAUAUUUAAAUUGAACUUUAUUAUUAUAUUUAUUUGUGAUACACCUGUUAUUAUAUUUAAGAAGAUGAAUUUUGGCUUCAUGUUAUCGUGGGUCCAUCCCUCGGUAGCAUGGCCAUGUUAUGUCCCGGGUUUGGGGUGUGACAAGAAUUUCAAAAAAUCAUCCGAGCCACAGGAUGAUUUAUGGAUCGAACCCUAGGUGCAUUCUAGAUGAGCCAUCUCAUGGUCAAUCUUAAUGCGCCUUUGCUCUCCAAAUGCCUGGUAGUCUAGUCUUCAUCUUUAUGAAGACUUCCAUGAAUGCUUGAUCUUUAUUUGAAAAUAGAAAGAAAUAAUUUCUAUCUAUUCUCAAAUAAUUUUUUUCUAUAAUUUUAUAUCAAUAUGUAAAAAUCUCAAUCAAUAGUUGAGAACAUAUAAAAGAAAGAUAUGACUGAUAAUACAAUACAUCAGGGGCACCCAACCCCUAUUGUAAUUCUUGCAGAUGUAUUUAUAUAAUCAGCCAACAUAAAAGCAUUUAUGCAUACAUCCAUCUCAUGGAUAUACCAUAGUCCAUAACCACACAACAUGUAUUUUAUAAUAAUUAUAAAACAUGACAAUUAACUUCUUAUGUUAUCUUAAUUG